This 465-nucleotide ribosomal RNA is filed under the name uncultured bacterium. Its description in RNAcentral is "partial 16S ribosomal RNA". It matches the Rfam family "Bacterial small subunit ribosomal RNA", at positions 28 to 507 of the family's 1533-position model. The record is from RNAcentral.
GACGAACGCUGGCGGCGUGCUUAACACAUGCAAGUCGAGCGGUAAGGCCCCUUCGGGGGUACACGAGCGGCGAACGGGUGAGUAACACGUGAGCAAUCUGCCCAUCACAUCGGGAUAACUCCGGGAAACCGAAGCUAAUACCGAAUACGACCACCUCCGGCAUCGGAUGGUGGUGGAAAGUUCCGGCGGUGAUGGAUGAGCUCGCGGCCUAUCAGCUUGUUGGUGGGGUAACGGCCCACCAAGGCUUCGCCGGGUAGCCGGCCUGAGAGGGUGACCGGCCACACUGGGACUGAGACACGGCCCAGACUCCUACGGGAGGCAGCAGUGGGGAAUAUUGGACAAUGGGCGAAAGCCUGAUCCAACAACGCCGCGUGAGGGAUGACGGCCUUCGGGUCGUAAACCUCUUUCAGCAGGGACGAAGCGCAAGUGACGGUACCUGCAGAAGAAGCACCGGCCAACUACGUG